GACGAACGCUGGCGGCGUGCCUAAUACAUGCAAGUCGAGCGAAGUUUUUCUGGUGCUUGCACUAGAAAAACUUAGCGGCGAACGGGUGAGUAACACGUAAAGAACCUGCCUCAUAGACUGGGACAACUAUUGGAAACGAUAGCUAAUACCGGAUAACAGUAUUUCUCGCAUGAGAGAUAUUUAAAAGUUGGUUAUGCUAACACUAUGAGAUGGCUUUGCGGUGCAUUAGCUAGUUGGUGGGGUAAAGGCCCACCAAGGCGACGAUGCAUAGCCGACCUGAGAGGGUGAUCGGCCACACUGGGACUGAGACACGGCCCAGACUCCUACGGGAGGCAGCAGUAGGGAAUCUUCCGCAAAGGGCGAAAGCCUGACGGAGCAACGCCGCGUGAGUGAAGAAGGAUUUCAGUUCGUAAAGCUCUGUUGUUAGGGAAGAAUGGAUAUGUAGUAACUAUACAUGUAAGAGACGGUACCUAACCAGAAAGCCACGGCUAACUACGUG
RNAcentral lists this ribosomal RNA (499 nucleotides) under uncultured bacterium. RNAcentral describes it as "partial 16S ribosomal RNA". It matches the Rfam family "Bacterial small subunit ribosomal RNA", at positions 28 to 507 of the family's 1533-position model. The record is from RNAcentral.